GCUGUGAGUCCCACAGGAGACAGGCUGUACAUCACCAACUGGCACAAGCUUCUCACCCUGGCCAGGGAUGGCACACUCCUGGCUACAUACACAGACCCAGCACUAGUGCGCCCACGUGGUCUACAUGUGACCCCUGCAGGCCAGGUGCUGGUCUGUGGAUACCUGUCCCACACUGUACUACAGGUGGGCUGGGAGGGAGAGAGUAAGCUGGCUAAUCUUGCUACUUGGGAAGAUGGAGUGGUGUGGCCAUGGUCAGUCUGCUACAGCAGCACCACAUCAUCCAUCAUUGUGGGACUGUAUGGGGACAACAUCCUGGUGUUCAGAGUGGAAUAGUGUGUACAUUGGCUGCUGAGUCAGGACAAGGUUGCUGAGGAUGUGGUGGACAAGGAUGACCUGAAUACACAGAAGGUGCUUGACCAAAUACAAGAGGCCGUCCCAUCAAUCAGUCAUCAAAGUCAGUUGAGAUGGACCAGAACAAGGCAGAAACUCAGCAACAUUUUACGCACUCAACUGCUCAGCACAGAAGACUACUGUCUGGUGAAAGGAUCGGCUGUAUCAAAGUCCUGUGAUAUGGGGGGACUUGGUCGUUCCAUGUGUGGGGAUUGCAUCAUGAAGGACAUUUUAGAUGACACUCACAAGGUGAGCAGGAGCAUUGUUAUUGAGUUGACAUGGCAACGGCACCAGUCGGACCCCCAGGAGCCUCAGUCCAGGACAACCCUUCCCCUCCACUGAUCCCUAGCUCCUCCCCUUUGACCUCCUGCUUCAAAGCUUCAUUGAACAAUAACGGUCUGCUGGAAUAUCUGAGCAUGUUGAG
This is a long non-coding RNA of Dreissena polymorpha, 814 nucleotides long. RefSeq lists it as uncharacterized. Lineage: Eukaryota; Metazoa; Mollusca; Bivalvia; Myida; Dreissenidae. The record is from RefSeq and is a predicted model, not a curated record. The transcript has 5 exons.